Molecule: ribosomal RNA, 253 nt
Filed under: uncultured bacterium
Lineage: Bacteria
Description: partial 16S ribosomal RNA
Rfam family: Bacterial small subunit ribosomal RNA
Source: RNAcentral
UACGUAGGGUGCAAGCGUUAAUCGGAAUUACUGGGCGUAAAGCGUGCGCAGGCGGUUGUGCAAGACCGAUGUGAAAUCCCCGGGCUUAACCUGGGAAUGGCAUUGGUGACUGCACGGCUAGAGUGUGUCAGAGGGGGGUAGAAUUCCACGUGUAGCAGUGAAAUGCGUAGAGAUGUGGAGGAAUACCGAUGGCGAAGGCAGCCCCCUGGGAUAACACUGACGCUCAUGCACGAAAGCGUGGGGAGCAAACCGG